GCGCCUGAAGUCAGUAGGAUUACCCGCUGAAC
This 32-nucleotide ribosomal RNA is filed under the name Climacostomum virens. RNAcentral describes it as "partial 28S ribosomal RNA". Lineage: Eukaryota; Ciliophora; Heterotrichea; Heterotrichida; Climacostomidae. The record is from RNAcentral.